GGGCGAGUGGCGGAAUCGGUAGACGCAGUGGACUUAAAAUCCGCGAUCCGAAAGGAUGUGAGGGUUCGAGUCCCUCCUUGCCCA
This 84-nucleotide transfer RNA is filed under the name Candidatus Moraniibacteriota bacterium. Its description in RNAcentral is "Candidatus Moranbacteria bacterium tRNA-Leu". It matches the Rfam family "tRNA". Rfam says of the family: Transfer RNA (tRNA) molecules are approximately 80 nucleotides in length. Lineage: Bacteria; Candidatus Moraniibacteriota. The record is from RNAcentral.